UUGAAUUGAAGAGUUUGAUCAUGGCUCAGAUUGAACGCUGGCGGCAGGCUUAACACAUGCAAGUCGAACGGUAGCAGGAGAAAGCUUGCUUUCUUGCUGACGAGUGGCGGACGGGUGAGUAAUGCUUGGGAAUCUGGCUUAUGGAGGGGGAUAACUACGGGAAACUGUAGCUAAUACCGCGUAGAAUCGGGAGAUGAAAGUGCGGGACCGCAAGGCCGCAUGCCAUGAGAUGAGCCCAAGUGGGAUUAGGUAGUUGGUGGGGUAAAGGCCUACCAAGCCUGCGAUCUCUAGCUGGUCUGAGAGGAUGGCCAGCC
Molecule: ribosomal RNA, 314 nt
Rfam family: Bacterial small subunit ribosomal RNA